This 472-nucleotide ribosomal RNA is filed under the name uncultured bacterium. RNAcentral describes it as "bacterial SSU rRNA". It matches the Rfam family "Bacterial small subunit ribosomal RNA", at positions 355 to 825 of the family's 1533-position model. The record is from RNAcentral.
UGGGGAAUAUUGGACAAUGGGGGCAACCCUGAUCCAGCAAUGCCGCGUGUGUGAAGAAGGCCUGCGGGUUGUAAAGCACUUUCAGUAGAGAAGAAAAGCCUAAGGUUAAUAACCUUGAGUCUUGACGUAACCUACAGAAGAAGCACCGGCUAACUCCGUGCCAGCAGCCGCGGUAAUACGGAGGGUGCAAGCGUUAAUCGGAAUUACUGGGCGUAAAGGGCGCGUAGGCGGCCCGGCAAGUCAGACGUGAAAGCCCACGGCUCAACCGUGGAACUGCGUUUGAAACUGCCGGGCUUGAGUCCCGGAGAGGGUAGUGGAAUUCCCAGUGUAGCGGUGAAAUGCGUAGAUACUGGGAGGAACACCGGUGGCGAAGGCGGCUACCUGGACGGGUACUGACGCUGAGGCGCGAAAGCGUGGGGAGCAAACAGGAUUAGAUACCCUCGUAGUCCCUGAGCGGGCUGGCAAGGCGCAU